CCCUUAGAUGUUCUGGGCAGCACGCGCGCUACAAUGGUCUUCGCAAACGGAUGCAGUCUCGAAGGAGAAUGCCAAUCUUGGAAUCUAUGCCUUGGUCGGGACAGUUGCUUGCAAUUUUUCGACUCGAACCAGGAAUUCCUUGUAAUCGUGAUUCAUCACAUCACGAUGAAUACGUCCCUGCCCUUUGUACACACCGCCCGUCGCUCCUACCGAUCGAAGAGUUAGGUGAAUUGUUUUGAUCGAUAAGAUUUGACUAUGGUCAACUCUCGUUGUGAAAUUCUGUGAAUCUGACUGUUUAGAGGAAGGAAAAGUCGUAACA
This 319-nucleotide ribosomal RNA is filed under the name uncultured eukaryote. RNAcentral's name for it is "partial 18S ribosomal RNA". It matches the Rfam family "Eukaryotic small subunit ribosomal RNA", at positions 1470 to 1796 of the family's 1831-position model. The record is from RNAcentral.